GGGAAGCUGGUGGUGGCAAGAGGAAUCCUGUAAAAUUACUUCUGGAAGAAACUGGGGAAUCAAACUGCAUGAAAAGGCCUGAGCACCUAAUGUAUGUCCCUAAGCAGCUCCACAGGGAUAAUAUGCAUCAUUGAGCAGCAAGCUGGGGAAAAAGGCAGACAAGCUAUGACUUCAGAUUUGGUCGUCCCUCAAAAAACGCGACUGUCCUAAUUUUCAGGCUGGGGUCUCAUUCUCUCAGGUCUACCAACUUCUCUCAUUUUUAUUCUCUUCCCUUCUCUGCUACAAUGGAAGCUGCCCAUUUGGCUCUUUUCACAGCAGAUACAUCUCUGUAGUACAUCUGGACCUGCAACUCUCAUGUGCUAUCUCCUAAUCAGUACAAAAAAUGUGACAAAGAACUCCUGAGUCCUGUGGCAGGUUCAGAUGGAAGGAAGGAGAUGGACGGGGCAAGGAAUACCCAGGACUGGAAUUCCAAGGGACACAAAGGAUAUGUCCUUCUGGGUUAGCAUUCCAGAGGAAGGGGAUAUGCUUUAUGCAGUGGGCACCUGCACCAUUUCUUUGCCUAGGCAGGAGGCUUCAGGUUGAAUCUUGUUAAAUGUUCAAUCACGUGCCAUCCUCCCUGAAUCCCCAGGCAAAAAAAAAAGGGAAAGGGGGAAAGAAAGAUAUAGGAUUAUUUAGACAUGCUAAAUAUCAAGAUGAUCCACCUGCCAUUGCAAUAUCCCAACACCUACUUGAUA
Long non-coding RNA from Chelonia mydas (Green sea turtle), 734 nucleotides. RefSeq lists it as uncharacterized. The record is from RefSeq and is a predicted model, not a curated record. NCBI's taxonomy places the organism in Eukaryota, Metazoa, Chordata, Testudines, Cheloniidae. The transcript is spliced from 3 exons.